This 127-nucleotide ribosomal RNA is filed under the name Osteocephalus leprieurii (Cayenne slender-legged treefrog). RNAcentral's name for it is "partial 16S ribosomal RNA". Lineage: Eukaryota; Metazoa; Chordata; Amphibia; Anura; Hylidae. The record is from RNAcentral.
AAAGGAGUUUUUUCUAGUACGAAAGGACCGAAAAAACAUGGCCUAUACUUUAUGCAAGCCAUAAUUAUUAACUUAUGAUAAAAUCUCAAUAAGUACUUAACCCAACACUAAACUCAAAAAAAGAGUA